Molecule: ribosomal RNA, 276 nt
Filed under: uncultured bacterium
Lineage: Bacteria
Description: partial 16S ribosomal RNA
Rfam family: Bacterial small subunit ribosomal RNA
Source: RNAcentral
UAUCCCUACGGGACGCAGCAGUGAGGAAUAUCGGUCAAUGGUCGGGAGACUGAACCAGCCAAGCCGCGUGAGGGAGGAAGGUACAGAGUAUCGUAAACCUCUUUUGUCAGGGAACAAAGGCGGGGACGUGUCCCCGGAUGAGUGUACCUGAAGAAAAAGCAUCGGCUAACUCCGUGCCAGCAGCCGCGGUAAUACGGAGGAUGCGAGCGUUAUCCGGAUUUAUUGGGUUUCAAGGGUGCGCAGGCGGUCUGUUAAGUCAGCGGUCGAAGGCCGGGG